UCGAGAAUUUUUCUCAAUGGGCGAAAGCCUGAAGGAGCGACGCCGCGUGGGGGAUGAAUGGCUUCGGCCCGUAAACCCCUGUCAUUUGCGAACAAACCCUAUCAUUUAAAAGAUGAUAGGCUGAUUGUAGCGAAAGAGGAAGGGACGGCUAACUCUGUGCCAGCAGCCGCGGUAAUACGUAGGGUGCGAGCGUUGUCCGGAAUUACUGGGCGUAAAGAGCUCGUAGGGGGUUUGUCGCGUUGUUCGUGA
RNAcentral lists this ribosomal RNA (249 nucleotides) under uncultured organism. RNAcentral describes it as "partial 16S ribosomal RNA". It matches the Rfam family "Bacterial small subunit ribosomal RNA", at positions 355 to 597 of the family's 1533-position model. The record is from RNAcentral.